GAUGAAGAAACGUAGCGAAAUGCGAUACGUAAUGUGAAUUGCAAAUUCAGUGAAUCAUCGAGUCUUUGAACGCACAUUGCGCCCCCUGGUAUUCCGGGGGGCAUGCCUGUCCGAGCGUCAUUGCUGCCCUCAAGCACGGCUUGUGUGUUGGGCCCCGUCCUCCGAUCCCGGGGGACGGGCCCGAAAGGCAGCGGCGGCACCGCGUCCGGUCCUCGAGCGUAUGGGGCUUUGUCACCCGCUCUGUAGGCCCGGCCGGCGCUUGCCGAUCAACCCAAAUUUUUAUCCAGGUUGACCUCGGAUCAGGUAGGGAUACCCGCUGAACUUAAGCAUAUCAAUAAGCGGAGGA
This 346-nucleotide unclassified non-coding RNA is filed under the name soil metagenome. RNAcentral describes it as "partial contains 5.8S ribosomal RNA, internal transcribed spacer 2, and large subunit ribosomal RNA". The stretch from base 1 to 120 matches the Rfam family "5.8S ribosomal RNA", at positions 35 to 154 of the family's 154-position model. The record is from RNAcentral.